RNAcentral lists this ribosomal RNA (767 nucleotides) under uncultured bacterium. RNAcentral describes it as "bacterial SSU rRNA". It matches the Rfam family "Bacterial small subunit ribosomal RNA", at positions 28 to 776 of the family's 1533-position model. The record is from RNAcentral.
GACGAACGCUGGCGGCGUGCCUAUACAUGCAAGUCGAGCGAAGUUUUUCUGGUGCUUGCACUAGAAAAACUUAGCGGCGAACGGGUGAGUAACACGUAAAGAACCUGCCUUAUAGACUGGGACAACUAUUGGAAACGAUAGCUAAUACCGGAUAACAGCAUUAACUGCAUGGUUGAUGUUUGAAAGUUGGUUUUGCUAACACUAUGAGAUGGCUUUGCGGUGCACUAGCUAGUUGGUGGGGUAAAGGCCUACCAAGGCGACGAUGCAUAGCCGACCUGAGAGGGUGAUCGGCCACACUGGGACUGAGACACGGCCCAGACUCCUACGGGAGGCAGCAGUAGGGAAUCUUCCGCAAUGGGCGAAAGCCUGACGGAGCAACGCCGCGUGAGUGAAGAAGGAUUUCGGUUCGUAAAGCUCUGUUGUUAGGGAAGAAUGAUUGUGUAGUAACUAUACACAGUAGAGACGGUACCUAACCAGAAAGCCACGGCUAACUACGUGCCAGCAGCCGCGGUAAUACGUAGGUGGCAAGCGUUGUCCGGAAUUAUUGGGCGUAAAGCGCGCGCAGGUGGUUUAAUAAGUCUGAUGUGAAAGCCCACGGCUCAACCGUGGAGGGUCAUUGGAAACUGUUAAACUUGAGUGCAGGAGAGAAAAGUGGAAUUCCUAGUGUAGCGGUGAAAUGCGUAGAGAUUAGGAGGAACACCAGUGGCGAAGGCGGCUUUUUGGCCUGUAACUGACACUGAAGCGCGAAAGCGUGGGGAGCAAACAGG